This is a long non-coding RNA of Neogale vison (American mink), 915 nucleotides long. RefSeq lists it as uncharacterized. The transcript is spliced from 2 exons. Lineage: Eukaryota; Metazoa; Chordata; Mammalia; Carnivora; Mustelidae. The record is from RefSeq and is a predicted model, not a curated record.
CUGGCGUGCGGCGGAAGUGGUGGUGCUCCGCCUCAGCAGCUGGCCUGUGGGAGCUCGGACGAACGCCGACAGCGCGCAGGGGCCCGAGCCCUGGGAUGGCCCACAGUGCCGCCCUCCUCCCUCCCACUCAGCCCAGCCCCCUGGGGGUCCAGUCGACUCAGAAGCGGAGACUCCGUGUCCAGCAACUGUGAGACGCCGGGUAACGACGGGGCCGCAUGGAGCGCGAGGAACGCGCGUAGGACUUGACCUAGAAGUAGGCUUUGCGAAUGACUACUUGUGUGACCGAACCCCGCUCUGGGUAAAGCUCCCUGGGGACCCCCAAGUCCGAAGGAAGCCUGUCUGCGAAGGAUGGUCUCCUGGGAAGGAGCCGAAGGCUUUCUUUUCAGACCGCCGUGUAGCCUGUCCUGGGGGUCCUGGGCUGAGAGAGGAAGCCAGACGGUGUGUGAAGAGGAGGUCACCUCCCUGCUCGGAGCUCUGGGAGCGCCUGAAAGGCAGUUGAGAGCCAGUUGAGAGGCAACAACCCCAGUUCGACCUCCUCCUUUCAAGUUGUGUAGAACUGCACUGCGCACGCGAGUUCGCCGGGACCCAGGCCAGGUCGGGGGCUUUGCGAAGACAAGAUGCUUUUGCUUUGAGUUUGCUCUGAUCUGCCCAACUCGCUCAGAUCCAACAAGGGCAGCACCUGUGUUCAGGAGAAAAUAUACCCUACCCAAUGGCCGGUUGUAGUUCUGCGCCUGACUUCCUCAAAAAUCAGUUUCUAUGGCUGUUCUCCUCUUCGGUAAAAUCAGGACAAUUUUUACUGCUGAGGCUGAAAUUAAAAAGGUAAAGACACACGCCUCCUUGAAGACUUCCUAGUCUAGGGAACGGUCUGUUGGCCCUGUCUGCUCUUGUCAAUAAAAUUUUAUUGGGAUACGGUUA